GACGAACCGUGCGAACGUUGUUCGGAAUCACUGGGCUUAAAGGGCGCGUAGGCGGCUUGCCAAGUCAGUGGUGAAAUCCCACAGCUUAACUGUGGAAGUGCCUUUGAUACUGGCGAGCUCGAGGGAGGUAGGGGUAUGUGGAACUUCUGGUGGAGCGGUGAAAUGCGUUGAUAUCAGAAGGAACGCCGGUGGCGAAAGCGACGUACUGGACCUCUUCUGACGCCGAGGCGCGAAAGCUAGGGGAGCAAACGGG
RNAcentral lists this ribosomal RNA (253 nucleotides) under uncultured bacterium. Its description in RNAcentral is "partial 16S ribosomal RNA". It matches the Rfam family "Bacterial small subunit ribosomal RNA", at positions 524 to 776 of the family's 1533-position model. The record is from RNAcentral.